GGAUCUAAAGAGGGGUCAAAGUAGGCUUAGAGGGGCAACGCUGUGGGCAGCUCAUUGCUAUUGCCAUUUGGCAGGUCCCAGCAUGGAAGGGGUGAGCUCCAUAAAACUCAGUAAGAGAAAUAGCAUUAAAAUUAUACUGUUAAGACUUAAAAAGUUAUUACCCUUAAGUGAACAUGCUUACCCAAUAAAUAACAUACCUUGGAGG
Molecule: long non-coding RNA, 205 nt
Filed under: Carica papaya (papaya)
Lineage: Eukaryota; Viridiplantae; Streptophyta; Magnoliopsida; Brassicales; Caricaceae
Description: long non-coding RNA (CPAP_LNC007944)
Source: RNAcentral